Molecule: ribosomal RNA, 234 nt
Filed under: uncultured Staphylococcus sp.
Lineage: Bacteria; Bacillati; Bacillota; Bacilli; Caryophanales; Staphylococcaceae
Description: partial 16S ribosomal RNA
Rfam family: Bacterial small subunit ribosomal RNA
Source: RNAcentral
GUUAGUAACACGUGGAUAACCUACCUAUAAGACUGGGAUAACUUCGGGAAACCGGAGCUAAUACCGGAUAAUAUAUUGAACCGCAUGGUUCAAUAGUGAAAGACGGUUUUGCUGUCACUUAUAGAUGGAUCCGCGCCGCAUUAGCUAGUUGGUAAGGUAACGGCUUACCAAGGCAACGAUGCGUAGCCGACCUGAGAGGGUGAUCGGCCACACUGGAACUGAGACACGGUCCAG